Molecule: long non-coding RNA, 1219 nt
Organism: Megalobrama amblycephala (Wuchang bream)
Lineage: Eukaryota; Metazoa; Chordata; Actinopteri; Cypriniformes; Xenocyprididae
Exons: 4
Source: RefSeq, a predicted model, not a curated record
GAGACGCUGAGCUGGAGCAGCUUUCACACACACAGGAUCACAUCCAUUUCCUGCAGAGUUUCCCGUCUCUCUCAGCUCCUCCUGAAUCUACAGACGUAAAUGACGAUCCCUUCAGUUCUCUCUCCUCUUUUGAUGGUGUGAGAGAAUUUGUUUGUCAGCUGAGAGACAAACUGGAGGAUUUCUGCAAAGAGGAAGCUCAAGAAGAUCUCUGACAGAGUCACUUUCACCAACAUUGUUCCCAGGACCAGGAACGACUUCCUACAAUAUUCCCAUCAGCUCACUCUGGAUCUGAACACAGUGAAUAAACGCCUCCGGCUGUCUAAGAAGAAUAGAGUGAUUACACGCACUGGCACAGAGCUUCAGCCAUAUCCUGAUCAUCCAGACAGAUUUGAUGAAUGUAAUCCUCAGGUGUUGUGUAGAGAGAGUGUGUGUGAUCGACGCUGUUACUGGGAGAUUGAGUGGAGUGGUGUUGGUGUAUUAAUAUCAGUGUCAUAUAAGAGCAUCAGGAGGAAGGGAGGGGAUAAUAAGUGUUGGUUUGGAUCUAAUGAUCAGUCCUGGAGUUUGUUCUGCUCUUCCUCCAGUUACUCAUUCAGACACAAUAACAUAAAGACUGAAUUCCCUGUAAAGUCGAUCAGCUGUAGAAUAGGAGUGUAUGUGGAUCACAGUGCAGGAACUCUGUCCUUCUACAGCGUCUCUGGAGACACAAUGAGCCUCAUCCACACAGUCCAGACCACAUUCACUCAACCGCUCUAUCCUGGGUUUGGGGAUUUAUAUUGUUGGAUCAUCAAUGAAACUGUGUUGAUGAAUCAGAACAGACUCUAGAGAGAUUCUUUCCAUAAUGCUUUGAGCUCAUGAUAAAUUAGAAACAGUGAGAUGUUAUAGAGUGUCUUAUUUUCUCUUCAUUACAUUAAUACUACAGCUGAACUUCUGUCAGUGAAAUAACAUCAGAAUAAAUGUAACUCUUUAGAUUACAGCCCGCAAAGUACUGCGUCAGUAAAAUUAAUUCACAGCAUAAUUUCAGUAAUUAUAGAGUACCUAUAGAGUAUGUAUGUGUAGGUAUAAGGACACAAUAUGUAAAGUUUGGGGAAUAAAGGGGUAACAACCAGGAAAAUUAACAAAUUAUUUAUACUGUAAAUAUUUUAGAAUGCUUAUUACAAUAAGUACACAGAAAAAUCUCCAGAGUUAAAUCAACUCUGCUCAGAGUACAUAUGGUCCCUCU